GCCUACGGGGGGCAGCAGUGGGGAAUAUUGGACAAUGGGCGCAAGCCUGAUCCAGCCAUGCCGCGUGUGUGAAGAAGGCCUUCGGGUUGUAAAGCACUUUUGUUGGGAAAGAAAUCCUGUCGGCUAAUACCCGGCGGGGAUGACGGUACCCAAAGAAUAAGCACCGGCUAACUUCGUGCCAGCAGCCGCGGUAAUACGAAGGGUGCAAGCGUUACUCGGAAUUACUGGGCGUAAAGCGUGCGUAGGUGGUUCGUUAAGUCAGAUGUGAAAGCCCCGGGCUCAACCUGGGAAUUGCAUUUGAUACUGGCGGACUAGAGUGCGGUAGAGGAGAGUGGAAUUCCCGGUGUAGCAGUGAAAUGCGUAGAGAUCGGGAGGAACAUCAGUUGCGAAGGCGGCUCUCUGGACCAGCACUGACACUGAGGCACGAAAGCGUGGGGAGCAAACAGGAUUAGAUACCCCUGUAGUCCG
RNAcentral lists this ribosomal RNA (468 nucleotides) under uncultured bacterium. RNAcentral's name for it is "bacterial SSU rRNA". It matches the Rfam family "Bacterial small subunit ribosomal RNA", at positions 337 to 797 of the family's 1533-position model. The record is from RNAcentral.